Metopolophium dirhodum (rose-grain aphid) is the source of this 3174-nucleotide long non-coding RNA. RefSeq lists it as uncharacterized. NCBI's taxonomy places the organism in Eukaryota, Metazoa, Arthropoda, Insecta, Hemiptera, Aphididae. The transcript is spliced from 2 exons. The record is from RefSeq and is a predicted model, not a curated record.
GCAUAAUUAAUUCACACUCGCCGGCCGUAUAUAGAAGUCGUUGGUAGUCUGUCGGCACUCUCCCCUGAAAUUUGCCAUAAAAUAGCGAAUUGACGCUAAACUAUGGCAAACGAACGGGGGGAAAAGUGUUCCAACAAGAACUGACCAACGCACUCACAACCAAGGAUGGAAAUCCAUCGCGGGAUUAUAGUGACUUUCAAGUUUUCCAACAAUUCUAAUUUCGGAGAUGUUAAGGUCAACUGGCAACAUUUAUGGCAUUUUUUCUACAACUCAAACACUUUCCAACAGCUCAUCAACUCAACCUCUAAAUUAGUUCAACAACUCAACAGGAAUCGACAUCUCAACAGAAACAAAAUCUCUAUGAAAUAUUUUAAAAACUGUAUAACUUUUAAAAUCCUAAGGUAAAAUUGUGUAUAAGUAAUGUUUUAAAAAUUGUUUAACUUUUAAAAUCCUAAGGCAAAAUUGCGUAUAAAUAAAAUUGUUUAGGGUAGUUGAAACUAAGAAGUUGAAAGUAUGGCUCGACUUUUUUCGUACCUAUCUGAAUUGAGAUGUUUUACAAAAUCAUUUCUAUCUACAUUUAUUUUUAAUGUCCCCGGGCUAGUGUGUCGGUUCCAUUUUCUAAAAUGGGUCUUUUGUCACCAAUAGUUUAUAAGUCUCCUGGUAUUUUAUCUAGAAAAUCUAAAGGAGUUCCUUCACCAAUAGUUUACAAAUCGCCUAAAAUUUUAUCUUAAGUGUUUGAGUUAACAAGUAGAGAUUCAUAACUUUUCAUUGAAUUUAUUUGUUGUUUUGUGAAUCCUUCCAUUUCGAAUCCCAUUUUUCCUAAACAAAGUUCACAUAUAUAAAAUCCUACAAUUCAAUACGUAUUAAAACUAUCAACUUUUGAAUUUAUUGAUAUUUCUUUCAAUAUCAUAUCCUAAGUAUUAUGCCUAAUUUUAAAAUCUGAAUUCAUUGUGAAAGAAUACUUACUUACGAAUUCUGGAUAUUUUUUUUGUAAUAACUGAAAUUUAAAUAAUAGUUCUAAUUUGUAUCAUCUUCAGAAGAUUCUGAACAUCUGUUUUGUUUUUUAGAUAUUAUUGUAGAUAUAAUAGAUGACAUAGGUUUAACUUUACUUGUUAUUGUUUUUCCAAUUUUUUUUUUAUUUAUACUUCUUUGAGAAGAUUUUAAUGCUUUUAUAAUGAAUUUACUAGAGCAAAAACUGCUUGUAAAAGAUUCUAUAGUUUUUAUUGUAUUUAUAGAUUUUUGAAAUGCUUGAGGUAAUUUUUUUAAAUCUUUUUUUGGUGUUAAACUACUUUUAGAACAAACAGAAGAUAUAUUAGAAUUUAUUGUUAAAAAUUCUUUAAGAGAUUUAUAAAUUCUAGUAGAUGAAAAUAUAUAUGGUUUUUUUUUAGUAGAAGAUUUAAUAGGAGAUUUGUAAACUAUUGGUGAUAAUAUAUAUGUUUUUUUUUAGUAGGAUUAUUAAUAGGAGAUUUAUAAACUAUUGGUGACAAAAGACCCAUUUUAGAAAUUGGAACCGACACACUAGCCCGGGGACAUCAUAAAAUAAAUAUAGAUAAGAUAGAUUAGUUCAACAACUCAACAGGAAUCGACAUCUCAACAGAAACAAAAUCUCUAUGGAAUAUUUUAAAAACUGUAUAACUUUUAAAAUCCUAAGGCAAAAUUGUGUAUAAGUAAUAUUUUAAAAAUUGUUUAACUUUUAAAAUCCUAAGGCAAAAUUGCGUAUAAAUAAUAUUGUUUAGGGUAGUUGAAACUAGGUAGUUGAAAGUAUGGCUCGACUUUCGUCGUACCUAUCGGAAUUGAGAUGUUUUACAAAAUCAUUUUUAUCUAUAUUUAUUUUAUAAUGUCCCCGGGCUAGUGUGUCGGUUCCAUUUUCUAAAAUGGGUCUUUUGUCACCAAUAGUUUAUGAAUCUCCUAUUUAUACUCCUAAAAAAAAACCGUAUAUAUUAUCACCAAUAGUUUACAAAUCUCCUAUUAAAUCUCCUACUAAAAAAACCAUAUAUAUUAUCAUCUACUAGAAUUUAUAAAUCUCUUCAAGAAUUUUUAACAAUAAAUUCUAAUAUAUCUUCUUUUUGUUCUAAAAGUAGUUUAACUUCAAAAAAAGAUUUAAAAAAAUUACCUCAAGCAUUUCAGAAAUCUAUAAAUACAAUAAUAACUAUAGAAUAUUUUACAAGCAGUUUUUGUUGUAGUAAAUUCAGUAUAAAAGCAUUAAAUAAAAUCUUCUAUAAGAAGUAUAAAUAAAAAAAAAAUUGGUUAAACAAUAACAAGUAAAGUUAAACCUAUGUCAUCUAUUAUAUCUACAAUAAUAUCUAAAAAACAAAACAGAUCUUCAGAAUUUUCUGAAGAUGAUACAAAAUUAGAACUAUUAUUUAGAUUUCAGUUAUUACAAAAUAUAUCCAGAAUUCGUAAGUAAGUAUUCUUUCACAAUGAAUUCAGAUUUUAAUAUUAGGCAUAAUACUUAGGAUAUGAUAUUGAAAGAAAUAUCAGUAAAUUCAAAAGUUGAUAGUUUUAAUACGUAUUUAAUUGUAGGAUUUUAUUUAUGUGAACUUUGUUUAGGAAAAAUGGGAUUUGAAAUGGAAGGAUUUACUAAACAACAAAUAAAUUCAAAGAAAAGUUAUGAAUCUUUACUUGUUAACUCAAACACUUUAGAUAACAUUUUAGGCGAUUUGUAAACUAUUGGUGAAGGAACUCCUUUAGAUUUUCUAGAUAAAAUACCAGGAGACUUAUAAACUUUAUAAACUACUGGCGAAGGAACUCCUUCGCAUUUUUUGAUAAAAUAUCGGGAGAUUUAUAGUUUAUUGGUGAUGGGACAUUUAUUUUGGAGAAUGGAAUUGACACAUUGGCUUGGGGACAUUAUGGAAUAAAUGUGGAUGGAGGUGAUUUUGUAAAACAUCUCAAUUCAUUAAAUAGAAAUCAAAAUAAUUUAGAUUGAAAAUAUAAUAAUAUUUACAUGGAUUUUUUUAAUAGAACAAUUCUUUUAAAAAACUGAUAACGAUUCAUAAAUUUCAAAUAAUUUUCAAAACAUUUUGCAAUUCAAUUUUGUGAAAAUAUUUUAAUUAUUAAUACAAUUCAAUUUUAUAUUAUUAAUGAUAGGGCAUGAAUGUAAAAAAUAUUUUAAUUAUUAAUAUAUUUAAAUUUUGUGAAAAAUAUUUUAAUUAUUAUUGCAUUUAAAUUUUGUGA